UACGUAGGUGGCAAGCGUUGUCCGGAAUUACUGGGUGUAACGGGAGCGUAGGCGGGACGGUACGUUGAAUGUGAAAUCUAUGGGCUCAACCCAUAAACUGCGUUCAAAACUACCGUUCUUGAGUGAAGUAGAGGCAGGCGGAAUUCCUAGUGUAGCGGUGAAAUGCGUAGAUAUUAGGAGGAACACCAGUGGCGAAGGCGGCCUGCUGGGCUUUAACUGACGCUGAGGCUCGAAAGCGUGGGGAGCAAACAGG
This 253-nucleotide ribosomal RNA is filed under the name uncultured bacterium. RNAcentral describes it as "partial 16S ribosomal RNA". It matches the Rfam family "Bacterial small subunit ribosomal RNA", at positions 524 to 776 of the family's 1533-position model. The record is from RNAcentral.